AGAGCCGGUUUCAAACCUAAGUGCUUCGGCUUGGUGUUCACCCUUCUGCCCCAGGGACCUAGUGGCCCCCUUCAAAUAGCCUGCACAGGCAAGGGUAAUCCAAGAACAGGAUCGAUGUCGGGAGGUUCCAGUGAAAACUUGCAGAUCUUCAGACAACGUCGCUGGGCUAGCAAAACACAAUGGACCAUUUGGCCUUUGAAGCUCUGAGCAUGUCUGGUGACAAGGCAGCAUAAGGGAGCGGAUGGCUUGUGUGGCAGGGUCCCGAGGGAGAGUCCAAGGAUAGCAGGGAGAAGUUUGGCCCUGUCAGAAGACACAGCUCCCUGUGCAGGUGAAAAAGCAGAGCGCUUCCACACUCAGGGAACCAGAAUGCUUCUGCCUGCCACUGACCCUGGUCCCAGGCCCCCCAGAAGGAAGCUCUUUUUUUGGAGGCCUUGCCCUGUGCAUCUCUUCAUCUGGCUGUUGCUCUACCAUCUGACUCACAGCAAGCUGUGCUCUGGCCUGGGCCUCCACGGUUUGCUCCCCAUCUAUCGGCUGUUGCGCCCUCAGUUCUAAGCACCUCUUCAUGAAGAAUGUAGCGUGUGUCAUGGACAUACACACUGAAAUAUUCAUCAAUGAAUCAGUACAAUGUCUCCAGCUUACAACUUACUCUCAAAUGGUCUAGACAAAAAAGCAUCCAUCUAUCAUCUACAAAAGAACAAGUAAGACAGAUUGAAUGACAGAGCAAAUGUGGAUGAAGCACAGUGCAUUCUUAGAAAGGCUGAACAAUUUCAUACCUUCCUGCCCCCUCACAUACAUAGUAGAGGUGAGCUGUUUAACACAGGUCCAGAAAAGAAAGAAGGAAAGGGGAAAGGACAGAGAGAUAAAGAGAGGGAGGCAGAAAGAUAUGAGCCCGAGAAUUUCCCUGGCUGGCUGGGAGCCUUUAAAUGUGCCUGGAUGGGAAAGUUCAGUUGAUGCUUACAAACUGUGACCUGAAGCCCCUUCAUGAUCGGCCUGCCUGGACCGAAUGCAGCUGUUCAACAC
Non-coding RNA from Manis javanica (Malayan pangolin), 1020 nucleotides. The record is from RefSeq and is a predicted model, not a curated record. Lineage: Eukaryota; Metazoa; Chordata; Mammalia; Pholidota; Manidae.